Molecule: long non-coding RNA, 4789 nt
Filed under: Rattus norvegicus (Norway rat)
Lineage: Eukaryota; Metazoa; Chordata; Mammalia; Rodentia; Muridae
Description: long non-coding RNA NONRATT031688
Source: RNAcentral
UUUAAUUUUAAUUAUUAGAGUCAAUGGCUUUAUUUAAUAUACAUAUUAUUUCAUUUUUAUUAUAUAUAAUUGACUUGCCUUUUUAAGACCUAAAGUCUUAUAAGUCAAUUCAUUUAAUUGUAUUUGUUGUUUAACUGUGGCUCUAGAGAGCUGAGCAUGGUACCCCAUGCCAGUAAUUUCAGCACUUAGAGGAAGAGGCAGAACAAUCAGGAGUUUAAGAUCAUCUUCAGCUACAUAAAAAGCUCCAGGCCAGUCCGGGCUAUAUCAGACCCUUUCUCUAAAAAAGAGUACUGAGGCUAGGAGUUUGACUCAAAGGAUAAAAUGUUUAUUGUGGAAGCAUGAAGACCAGAGUUCUGAACCCACAUAAAAGACAAGGUAAGCAUGGCAGCCACCUAUAAUUCUGUCACUCUUAAUUCAGAGGCAGGAGAUCCCUGGGACAAACUGUCUAACUAGACUGUGUAGAAUUGUUGAGCUCUAGGUUAAGCAAAACACUGCCUUGAUGAAGUAAAACUUGCCCAUCGAUUUUGAGCCUGUGCACUGGUGCACACAUCCAUGCCUGUGCAUGCUCUAUGUACUUGUGUGUGUGUGUAUGUCUGCAUGUUAACCUCUGUCUAAACAUCUCAUUCUUUGCCUCCUUCAGGGAGCUCUCAACAUCAAUGACAGAACCAUACCUCAGCCCCCCAUUCUUCAGCUGUCGGUGGAGAAGUUGAGCAGAGAUGGAGCGUUCCUCAUGGAUGCAGGCUCAGUGAGUGGAUUGACUCAUCCUCAUGAGCUCAGUGUGCUGCUGGGCCUCCUUAGCAGUUGGCUUCAGCUGCCUUUCCUUCUAUGUUAGCACUGGCCAUUCUCCCUGCUGUCUCCCACUUCACGGUGUUCAGUAGUCCUUAGUACAAUCCCACUGAGCAUGCUCCUCCUUUGACUUUACAACAUGAACAAUGGUAAAAGUGUCAGGCUCACUAUUAGGCUGCCUCUCAGAACAGUGCAUUCCUGUUUGCAGGUACUGAUGCUUUGGGUUGGAAGAAAUUGUGCACAGAAUUUUCUCAGCCAAGUUCUGGGAGUUCAAAACUAUGCAUCAAUUCCACAGACAAUGACAGACCUUCCAGAACUUGAUACACCAGAAUCUGCCAGAAUGACAGCUUUUAUCUCCUGGCUUAGAGAACAGAGGCCAUUUUUCCCAAUACUCUAUGUAAUCAGAGAGGAGAGUCUGAUGAAGGCAGCCUUCCUUCAGAACCUGGUAGAAGACAGAACGGAGUCAGCGCUGUCAUAUUAUGAAUUCCUCCUGCACAUACAGCAGCAAGUGAACAAGUGACGAGUCGUGGGCUGCUGAGGAACCACUUUCAGAGUUCCUGGGGAUACAGUACCUUCCUUUCCUCCUUAAAAUUGUGAACAAAUGUGAUGAUGAUUACGAUGUUUCACUGUGAUUUUAACCAACUAUAGCAAAUAAAGGACCACAGCUGAGGGUCAGACGUGCAACUCCAAAAUACUGUAUUUUUCAAAUCAAAAUAGAUGUCUACACGAUUGGAAACCUUUUUUUCCCCUUUGCUGCCAACUAUGUUUGAGUUGUUAUGGAUUGAAAUGAGACAAUAUUGCAGAGGCAAAGUACAUUUUAUAAAAUAAAGACUUCUGUGUUCUGCAUUUCUAUUUCUCAUUUUUUUUUAUUAGUUUUUGGCUGCUACAUUUAAAAAACCUCACAAGACUACGUGUUGCAGGGAGUUUCAAGUCUAUCAAUAAUGAUCUUUUUCAAAUUGGGAAAUCCAAAAGUCAACAGACUGUAGAAAAGCUGGAAUCCAUUCCCUUUACAUGUUUGGUUUUUGCCCCACCCCCCACCUUUUUUUAAGGAAGGCAAAAGAUCAUGUUAACUAAAGUUGGAGUAAGCCAGCUCUGGUCCUGCUUGGGAAGAACAUAAAGUAACUGUCAAGCUUUAAAGUCUGUCAGUAUUUUCUCUACUUGAACAAAGUCACUUUAAUUUGAGGUGAAAACUAAUUAGGUGGUUUUCUGCUGUUUUAUUCUGCCAUGAAUAGAAUUUGAGCUGUCUUCAUGAAGAUCCCAGGACUGGUAUUGAAGUAGGAGCCCGUUGCCUUGACCCACUGAGUGGGCUUUUGUUUGGUCCAUUCCUGCUGUGAUUGAUAAAGAGUUGUGACUGUGGCACACCAGAGUGACAGCAGCUGAAAGUUCCAUCAAUGCAGCCUUAGAGUACAUUAGCAUUUCUCUAAGGAGUUUAAUAAUUACAUUGGAAGCCACUCAUGUAUUCUGAGAUAUUAAAACCUGUUAAAAGUGUGGAUGUUGCUGUCUGAGUUGGUGGACAUUAAGAUUGUACAAAUCCAUCAUAUUAAAGUUAUAAAAGAAACUUGAUUUCUUAACAUGCUCUAAAGACUGCUUGUUUUGAUUCAGUUAGAUUACAGUCAAACUAUCAGAUGGCUUUUGUUUACAAAUAGGUAAAUUAUCCGUGUGUAUUUAAGUGCUGUGUUGUCUUUAAGGGUUUGCCUCAGUUUUCACAGGUUCAUCAUCGUGUAUGAACUUCUCCAGUAAUGUCUGUGUGUAAGACUCAGAGAUUUUUUCUGUUUUUUGUUUUCAUAGAUUAGAAACGUGUUUACAGUCUCCGUCUCAAUGAUCACCAGUGAAAUGUAACUUCCAGGCUUACAUCCACAGGGGCUGACUUUAACUCCUGGAAGGGAAGCAGCAGGUCCCUGGAGUAUAGAGCCACUGCUUGCCAGCGGCUUCCCAGUAACAGGGAGAGUAACAGUGUUAGGGUUCGAUCUCUUUUUAAAUUCUAAGCCACACAGCAUGGUGGUUCAUGAUCCUUACUCUGGUAUUUAAGAGGCUAAAGCAGGAGAUUGCUAGCUUGGCUACAUAGCAAGUGCGAGACCAGCCAGACUUUGUCUCAAAAAGACAAUUGUUUCAGUGUACAUAUAGUACAUUCAAUUGAGGUUUGGUGAUUUUUGUUUUUUUUUGUUUGUUUGUUUUUUGUUUUUUGUUUUUUUUUUUUUGAAAGCUGCUUCAUUUAUUGAGAAGCAAUUUUCAAACUAUAACCAAUUAAAUUUAUAUUGUUUCUCCUCUUUUUAAGAAACAGCCAUUAUAUACAAUGUUCCUUUAAAUGAACUAAAGUCUUCUUUUUAAUGUGAUUUUAAAUGUUAGUGUUUUUUAGGUUCUCUCUUCAUAGUAAGGAAUCUUCCAGAGGGAAAUGUUGCGCUCCUAGGGAAACCUUCCCCGUGCCUUCCCUGAGUGAGUCUGACCCUAUUAGCACCUGCUUGGUAGUAUAUUUCACAAAUUUACUUUUAAAUUUUAUUUUAGAUAUUAUAUAAUGUGCAAUCCAGAGUAAUUUUAUAACAGUCAUAAAAACAUAACUAUUAAGGUUCACAACCUUGUUCUCUAGACAAGAGAAUGAACCUAUACUGAUAUAAUUAUUUUUUUGCUAUGUUGAAUGUUUUUCAGUUUUGACUUUUUUUCAGUAAGACACUACCCAUCCUACCAUCCUGUAUUACUUUCUGAUGUAAAGCAACUUAUAUUUACACUAUGCCAUAUUUUUUUUAUUGUAGUUGUAAAUUAUGAAAGAUCCUUGAAUUUUCUACAGAUCUACAACUACUAAAGUAACAGACAAGGGCAAUCUUGAUAUAUAAAUCUGAGCAUGGCAGUUCUACCAUAAAAAGUACUCUAUUUUUCUAAUUUCUAGAAUUUUUAAAAUAAUGUUUCUGUAAGUCUGACAUACUAAUAUUCACUCAAGCAGUAACAUUUAUUUUAGCUUGCAUAUAUUUUAAUUUAAUGUAAUGUAUUGAGUCUAAUAGACUGUUUUGCAAUAAUUAGAGUAAAAGAUUUACUUCUUCUAAUCAGAGAUGCAGAACAGCUCUCAUCUAGGGACCACCAAAUGUGAGUUCACAGUUUUAACUACUAUAAACACAAUCCGUACAUAGAAAAUUUAAUUUUGUAAAGUAGCCUGUAUGAUAUUGUAACAUUAAGUCCAUGUUCUCAAAUCAAAAAUAUGUGUUGACCUCCAGUGUGUUGUGCUCAGUCUUGCUCUGAAAUGUUGAGGCAAGAUUGGUCUUCCUUUUUACAGAUUGUAAUUUUCACUGUUUUAUUCCUGUUUUUAAAAAAAAGUCAUUUGUAACCCAUGCAAACAAUCGUUUGAUCUGUGCUAACUUAUAAAUUUGGCUAUUCAAUAAAGUUAAUCAAAAGAGCUUAUGUACAGUGGCUGGUUAUUGAAUAUAGUCUAGAGUGGUGGCCUCAGCCUUUACAAGGUGCUGUCGUGGGGAUAGACUCUCCCAUAGCCUCAUCUAGCUGCAGACUGACUGCAUAGCCAAGGACAGAACCUUGAACUUCUGAUCCUGCUGCUUUUACCUCAUAAGUACUAGAAUUACAAGUGUUCCACUGGGCCUUGAUUUAUGUGGUACUGAGGAGCAACACAGGGGGCCUUCACUUGAGCUAGGCAAACAUUCUACCAAUUGAGUCACAUCCCCAGCCUUAAAGUAAAUUCUUGAUGCUCUGCAAGGGUAGCUAGGCUUGAAAUUCCAGACUGGAAGGGACAUCUUCCAAUCUGAAUGUUUUGUGCCUGAAAAGAUGACUACUGUAUAUAGUCCCAACUGUUGUUCAUUUAAAGAUACGCUCCUAGCCUUUGAUGGCUUUUCUCCUUACUUUACAGUUGUAUUUCCCUGGGCUGUUUAUCUUACUUGUCUUCAGGUGACACUGUAAUAAGAAGAUCCUUGUUCUACAAUUCUGGACAUUCCUAGCCAUCUUCUUUCCAAGUGUUUUAUCUGCUUGGGGGGAUUUUUGUUUUGUUUUGCAAGAGUCAUGGUUGAGG